GAUGAACGCUGGCGGCGUGCCUAAUACAUGCAAGUCGAGCGGACGGACGCGGCGCUUGCUUUUCUGAUGUUAGCGGCGGGCGGGUGAGUAACACGUGGAUCCCCUACCUAUAAGACUGGGAUAACUUCGGGAAACCGGAGCUAAUACCGGAUAAUAUUUUGCACCGCAUGGUUCAAUAGUGAAUGACGGUCUUGCUGUCUCUUAUCGAUGCAUCCGCGCUGCAUUAGCUAGUUGGUGAGGUAACGGCUUACCAAGGGAACGAGGCGUAGCCGACGUGAGAGAGGGAUCGGCCACCCGGGAACUGAAACGCGGUCCAGGCUACUAAGGGAGGCAGCAGUAGGCAAUCGGGCGCAACGGGCGAAAGCAUGACGGAGUAACGCCGCGCGAGUGAUGAAGGUCCUCCGUGCGUAAAACCCUGUUAUUAGUGAAAAACAUAUGUGUAAGUAGCCGUGCACAGCGUGACGGUACUGAAUCAGAAAGCACCGGCUAACUACGUG
This 497-nucleotide ribosomal RNA is filed under the name uncultured bacterium. Its description in RNAcentral is "partial 16S ribosomal RNA". It matches the Rfam family "Bacterial small subunit ribosomal RNA", at positions 28 to 507 of the family's 1533-position model. The record is from RNAcentral.